RNAcentral lists this ribosomal RNA (387 nucleotides) under Bacillus anthracis (anthrax bacterium). Its description in RNAcentral is "bacterial SSU rRNA". It matches the Rfam family "Bacterial small subunit ribosomal RNA", at positions 1056 to 1444 of the family's 1533-position model. Lineage: Bacteria; Bacillati; Bacillota; Bacilli; Caryophanales; Bacillaceae. The record is from RNAcentral.
CAGCUCGUGUCGUGAGAUGUUGGGUUAAGUCCCGCAACGAGCGCAACCCUUGAUCUUAGUUGCCAUCAUUUAGUUGGGCACUCUAAGGUGACUGCCGGUGACAAACCGGAGGAAGGUGGGGAUGACGUCAAAUCAUCAUGCCCCUUAUGACCUGGGCUACACACGUGCUACAAUGGACGGUACAAAGAGCUGCAAGACCGCGAGGUGGAGCUAAUCUCAUAAAACCGUUCUCAGUUCGGAUUGUAGGCUGCAACUCGCCUACAUGAAGCUGGAAUCGCUAGUAAUCGCGGAUCAGCAUGCCGCGGUGAAUACGUUCCCGGGCCUUGUACACACCGCCCGUCACACCACGAGAGUUUGUAACACCCGAAGUCGGUGGGGUAACCUUUU